UAGGGAAUCUUCGGCAAUGGACGAAAGUCUGACCGAGCAACGCCGCCGUGAGUGAAGAAGGUUUUCGGAUCGUAAAACUCUGUUGGUAGAGAAGAACGUUGGUGAGAGUGGAAAGCUCAUCAAGUGACGGUAACUACCCAGAAAGGGACGGCUAACUACGUGCCA
This 165-nucleotide ribosomal RNA is filed under the name uncultured bacterium. Its description in RNAcentral is "partial 16S rRNA". It matches the Rfam family "Bacterial small subunit ribosomal RNA", at positions 355 to 510 of the family's 1533-position model. The record is from RNAcentral.